GAUGAACGCUAGCGGGAGGCUUAACACAUGCAAGUCGAGGGGCAGCACGAUGUAGCAAUACGUUGGUGGCGACCGGCGCACGGGUGAGUAACGCGUAUGUAACCUACCUUGUACAGGGGGAUAGCCCGGAGAAAUUCGGAUUAAUACCCCAUAAUGAUAUUAAGAGGCAUCUUUUAAUAUUUAAAGUUUCGACGGUACGAGAUGGGCAUGCGUGACAUUAGCUAGUUGGUAAAGGUAACGGCUUACCAAAGCUACGAUGUCUAGGGGUCCUGAGAGGGUGAUCCCCCACACUGGUACUGAGACACGGACCAGACUCCUACGGGUGGCAG
Molecule: ribosomal RNA, 329 nt
Filed under: uncultured Bacteroidota bacterium
Lineage: Bacteria; Pseudomonadati; Bacteroidota
Description: bacterial SSU rRNA
Rfam family: Bacterial small subunit ribosomal RNA
Source: RNAcentral